This 1047-nucleotide long non-coding RNA is filed under the name Bemisia tabaci. Its description in RNAcentral is "lncRNA ENSASIAIIG011104". The record is from RNAcentral. Lineage: Eukaryota; Metazoa; Arthropoda; Insecta; Hemiptera; Aleyrodidae.
AAUUUUCCUCUUAUGCGAAGAGAUUAAUUCUCAAGGCAAAAGUGUAUUGUAGGACCAAGACAAAAGCAGACAGCAAGUUGAAUUCAAUAAUAUAAUGUCCCUCUCUGUAGGGUCUGCGUUUGUAUCAAUCUGUGCAGCUGAUAAUAGCCAAGGGCAAAGAUGCUUGUUAGCGCAGAAGGUGUGAACAAAUCGACUGAGCAGACUGGUCUACAAUGAAAUAAUGCUCUGACUGCACUGCCCUCAUGGUUCCAAGUCCUCGUGAAAAGCUUCAUCAGCAUUCCACUUGAUAUGAUUAGUAGAUCUAGGCUCAUCACUUUCUUCAUUUAUAAUGUUGUGUUUUUAUACCUGCUUUGAAAGAUUCACUAAAUUCACUAAUUAUUUUUUUGUUUUUUUUUGGCAGCUAUUCCCAACCUACUUUUAACUACAUCUGCUCCUGACAUUCCUGAAUCCUCCAAAAGUACUAAGCUGUUCCAGAUUUACUUGAAGAUGUUCCUCAGAGUUCACCAUUUCAAGAAAGCUCAGAAGUUGAAGAAAGGGUUACAGGAGCAAUUACGUUUCCCGAACAGUGCAGUGUGUUAUCGGAGGUUAAUGAGGCGGAACAUAGUAGAUUACAAGAACCCAAACUUUCUACUUGCAGUUCAUUGAACUCUUAUCAAAUCACAAGGGUUCAUCAUCUUGAAUCCACUCCUGCUUUAUGUCAAUCUGGACCUUCUCAUGAACCUAGUAUUUUAACAAGUAGUCAAUCUAGUCAUUAUGGGCCUCAACAGAUAUAUACAGAGUACACACAAGUCACUGUAAUUUCAGAGAGAUUUGAAAGAGACGAGCAGUUGCUUCAGAAGCAAUCUUCAGAAAUUGAAGAUCUGAAAAUUGCCUUAAAGGAAGCCAACUCCAGACUGGAGAAAUUGUCCUUAGAUGUAACUUUUUUAAAAUCGAAAGAAGAAGAGCUUCUAAUUGAAAAGAAACGUUUAGGCAAAACAUUAAAUGUGAAAGAGAAAAAAAUCAGUAGUUUGUCAAACCAAUUAAGAAUCAAGUGUAGGCAACUGAAGG